Molecule: ribosomal RNA, 460 nt
Filed under: Staphylococcus hominis
Lineage: Bacteria; Bacillati; Bacillota; Bacilli; Caryophanales; Staphylococcaceae
Description: bacterial SSU rRNA
Rfam family: Bacterial small subunit ribosomal RNA
Source: RNAcentral
UUUAUGGAGAGUUUGAUCCUGGCUCAGGAUGAACGCUGGCGGCGUGCCUAAUACAUGCAAGUCGAGCGAACAGACGAGGAGCUUGCUCCUUUGACGUUAGCGGCGGACGGGUGAGUAACACGUAGGUAACCUACCUAUAAGACUGGGAUAACUUCGGGAAACCGGAGCUAAUACCGGAUAAUAUUUCGAACCGCAUGGUUCGAUAGUGAAAGAUGGCUUUGCUAUCACUUAUAGAUGGACCUGCGCCGUAUUAGCUAGUUGGUAAGGUAACGGCUUACCAAGGCAACGAUACGUAGCCGACCUGAGAGGGUGAUCGGCCACACUGGAACUGAGACACGGUCCAGACUCCUACGGGAGGCAGCAGUAGGGAAUCUUCCGCAAUGGGCGAAAGCCUGACGGAGCAACGCCGCGUGAGUGAUGAAGGUCUUCGGAUCGUAAAACUCUGUUAUUAGGGAAGAAC